RNAcentral lists this transfer RNA (68 nucleotides) under Valentia hoffmanni. RNAcentral describes it as "tRNA-Val". The record is from RNAcentral. Lineage: Eukaryota; Metazoa; Arthropoda; Insecta; Hemiptera; Reduviidae.
CAAAUUAUAAUCCUAGGGGUAAUAUUAUUUACAAUAAUACUUUUGUUGUGCAAUUCAACAUAAUUUGA